GAACUCAGCAGCACAUAUACUAAAAUUGGAACGACACAGAGAAGAUUAGCAUGGCCCCUGCACAAGAAUGACAUGCAAAUUCGUGAAGCAUUCCAUAUUUUU
RNAcentral lists this small nuclear RNA (102 nucleotides) under Heterocephalus glaber (naked mole-rat). Lineage: Eukaryota; Metazoa; Chordata; Mammalia; Rodentia; Bathyergidae. The record is from RNAcentral.